AGCUGCUGGAGCUAACUGAAAACUACACACCACAGGUAUCUGAAUACAAGGAGGGAAAGAUCGUGAGCUUUGACCCAAUCAACAGACAGAUUGAACUUGAACUCCUUAAUGUCUCUCAAGCUUCCGUAGAACCUGGAAAAUUUGAUCUAGUCUAUCAAAAUCCAGAUGGCUCCGAGAGGGUGGAGUAUGCUGUGUCCAGAGGGUCUUGGGUGACAGAACGGUGGGAGUCUCUGCUGGAGCCAAGACUCAUCAUUUAAGUUUGAGAAAAAGUUAAAUAGUUAUUUUUUUAAUGACCUGGACUUAUCUUUUAAAAGCUAAAACAUCCAAUGGUUUUGAUUCUGGUCCAUUUAAACUUUCUUAUCUGUGCUUCUCUGUUAGCACAUUUUUAACAGUUCUGUUUAAACUGGGUUUAGAGAUGAAAUGGUUUUUAUGCUUAAAUCAGCUGAAGGGAUGAGUAAUGAUUUUAAGCACUGGGGCACACUGUAAUGGUUUUAUUUUUUGUACAGAGAUGUGACUGUGAUAAGUCUUGUAUAAACUGUUUUUCCAAUAAAAAACUGCAUCCUCAGCCACACAUGAGGGCAAAAUUUUAGCGUGUU
Neolamprologus brichardi is the source of this 596-nucleotide non-coding RNA. NCBI's taxonomy places the organism in Eukaryota, Metazoa, Chordata, Actinopteri, Cichliformes, Cichlidae. The record is from RefSeq and is a predicted model, not a curated record.